This is a non-coding RNA of Picea glauca (white spruce), 43 nucleotides long. The record is from Rfam. NCBI's taxonomy places the organism in Eukaryota, Viridiplantae, Streptophyta, Pinopsida, Pinales, Pinaceae.
CCAUAGGAUUUUCUCAAAUCCAACUUUAAAAUUAAGGCCUUAU